CCCCUCUUCGUCCUCCAGUUACACCUCUCUCAAACCCAGAACAACCGCACUCGGUCCUCCAGGUACACCUCUCUCAAACCCAUAACAACCCCUCUUCGUCCUCCAGGUACACCUCUCUCAAACCCAUAACAACCCCUCUUCGUCCUCCAGGUACACCUCUCUCAAACCCAUAACAACCCCUCUUCGUCCUCCAGGUACACCUCUCUCAAACCCACAGCAGCUCUUCUCCUCUCUCCCAUCUCUCCCUCUAACUCUUUCAGUCCCACAGCUCUUCUCCUCUCUCCCAUCUCUCCCUCUAACUCUCUCAGUCCCACAGCUCUUCUCCUCUCUCCCAUCUCUCCCUCUAACUCUUUCAGUCCCACAGCUCUUCUCCUCUCUCCCAUCUCUCCCUCUAACUCUCUCAGUCCCACAGCUCUUCUCCUCUCUCCCAUCUCUCCCUCUAACUCUCUCAGUCCCACAGCUCUUCUCCUCUCUCCCAUCUCUCCCUCUAACUCUUUCAGUCCCACAGCUCUUCUCCUCUCUCCCAUCUCUCCC
This is a long non-coding RNA of Oncorhynchus tshawytscha (Chinook salmon), 534 nucleotides long. The record is from Ensembl. Lineage: Eukaryota; Metazoa; Chordata; Actinopteri; Salmoniformes; Salmonidae.